GCCCAGGCAAAGUACGUCACCUGACCUGUGAUUCGAAACACAACAUCGAAGUGGGCCCUGAACUAUCACUUGAGCCGUUCAGAACUGGCUCUGGCUGUCAGCGAUACUCAGGCCAUCAAGGCCCAGGCGGAACUGAACGGCGCCAUUGUCCGCACCAAUCUGCUGACCCGCUACGAGCAAGUUCUCACUGGCCGAGAUGUACGAAUAUCUGGAGAGAGCGGCACAACACAGAGAACGGCUGCAAAUAUCGGAAGCACAGGGAACAUAAUGUGGUGGAAUAAGAUGAAUCCAACUAUUAACAAUCCACGUU
Drosophila miranda is the source of this 310-nucleotide long non-coding RNA. RefSeq lists it as uncharacterized. Lineage: Eukaryota; Metazoa; Arthropoda; Insecta; Diptera; Drosophilidae. The transcript has 3 exons. The record is from RefSeq and is a predicted model, not a curated record.